GUCUACGGCCAUACCACCCUGAACGCGCCCGAUCUCGUCUGAUCUCGGAAGCUAAGCAGGGUCGGGCCUGGUUAGUACUUGGAUGGGAGAAAGCGAGAGGGAGGGAGAAU
Molecule: ribosomal RNA, 110 nt
Filed under: Panthera tigris altaica (Amur tiger)
Lineage: Eukaryota; Metazoa; Chordata; Mammalia; Carnivora; Felidae
Source: RNAcentral